Molecule: RNA transcript, 2724 nt
Organism: Capsicum annuum
Lineage: Eukaryota; Viridiplantae; Streptophyta; Magnoliopsida; Solanales; Solanaceae
Gene name: NADP-dependent malic enzyme, chloroplastic-like
Exons: 20
Source: RefSeq, a predicted model, not a curated record
AAUCACUUGGAAGUUACUCAAAACGUGCGUGGGACUAACUUUGUCAGUUUGUUCAGAAAUUUACAGAUUCUUGUAGCCGCAUUUUCCUUGAACAAACCCUCAUAACCAAUACUAUAAUACUAACAAGCAAGACUUUCCACAAUAUAUAGGAAAGAGAAAUAGCAGAAGAAGCAAGUACAUUGAACAACCUUCAUCAUUUUCUUCUCACAAUCACAAUGUUCUCAUUGAAUGGUACCACUUUUACGGACAAUUCGUUGUGUGGGAUUUCAAGAUGUUUGACGACUCAGUCAAGGAAAAGGGUGUCAGUUCCUAUGGUGGUGGUGAGCUCAAAUGGAAGAGCUGCAGAUGGGAAUGUAAGUGUUUUAAUGGAGAAUACUUUGAAGGAAAGUGUUGCAGUAAUAGAGAAAGAUGAUUUUAAAUCGACGGUCAGUGGUGGAGUUGGGGAUGUGUACGGCGAGGAUACUGCCUCUGAAGAUCAAACCAUCACCCCUUGGACCUUCUCUGUUGCUAGCGGAUACUCAUUGUUGCGUGAUCCACACUACAACAAAGGGCUAGCUUUCAGUGAGAAAGAGAGGGAUUCCCACUAUUUGAGUGGUCUUCUUCCUCCUGUGGUUGUUGAUCAGGAGCUUCAGGUUAAGAAAGUGAUGAACGUUCUGCGUCAGUAUGAUGUACCGCUGCAAAGGUACAUGGCCAUGAUGGAUCUUCAGGAGAGAAAUGAGAGACUAUUCUACAAGCUUCUUAUGGAAAACGUAGAAGAGCUGCUCCCGAUAGUUUAUACUCCAACAGUAGGCGAAGCAUGCCAGAAGUAUGGUAGCAUCUUCAAACGUCCUCAAGGUCUUUUUAUCAGCUUGAAAGAAAAAGGCAAAAUUCUUGAGGUAUUAAAGAAUUGGCCUGAGAAGAAAAUUCAAGUUAUUGUUGUAACUGAUGGAGAACGAAUAUUGGGCCUUGGGGACCUAGGUUGCCAGGGAAUGGGGAUACCAGUAGGGAAACUCUCUUUAUACACAGCUCUUGGAGGCAUUCGUCCGUCAGCUUGUUUGCCAGUAACCAUUGAUGUGGGUACAAAUAAUGAGAAAUUGUUAGAAGAUGAAUUUUACAUUGGGCUCAGACAAAGAAGAGCUAGAGGACAGGAAUAUGCUGAACUCUUGGAUGAAUUUAUGUCUUCUGUCAAGCAGACUUAUGGGGAGAAAGUGCUCAUUCAGUUUGAAGACUUUGCAAAUCAUAAUGCAUUUGACCUUCUUGAAAAGUAUGGAACUAGCCACCUCGUUUUCAACGACGACAUUCAGGGGACUGCAUCUGUGGUCCUUGCAGGGCUCAUGGCAGCACUAAACUUAGUGGGAGGAAACUUGGCACAACAUACAUUUUUAUUCCUGGGAGCUGGGGAGGCUGGUACUGGGAUAGCAGAACUCAUAGCUCUUGAGAUGUCAAAGCAGACUGGAGCCCCUCUAGAAGAGACACGCAAGAAAAUUUGGAUGGUGGAUUCUAAGGGGUUGAUUGUUAGGUCUCGUAUGGAGUCACUUCAGCAUUUUAAGAUGCCCUGGGCUCAUGACCACGAGCCAGUAAAAGAACUUGUGAAUGCUGUGAAGUUAAUUAAGCCAACCAUCUUGAUUGGGUCUUCUGGCACUGGGAAGACGUUUACUAAAGAAGUGGUACGAACUAUAGCAACCUUCAAUAAGUUUGUAAUGCAGAAACCGGUUAUUUUUGCUCUCUCCAACCCAACAUCACAGUCUGAAUGUACUGCUGAAGAGGCUUAUACAUGGAGUGACGGACGGGCCAUUUUUGCUAGCGGGAGUCCAUUUGCUCCAGUUGAGUACGAGGGUAAAGUGUUCAUGUCUGGUCAGGCAAAUAAUGCAUACAUCUUCCCAGGGUUGGGUCUGGGUCUGAUAAUAUCUGGUGCGAUUCGCGUUCAUGAUGACAUGCUCCUGGCUGCCUGUAAGUUAUGCAAAAUCGGAAGCUUUAGCAGCAGAAGUUAGCAAAGAGAAUUUUGAGAAGGGAUUAAUAUACCCACCAUUUGCCAACAUAAGGAAGAUUUCAGCUCACAUUGCUGCUAAAGUAGCAGCCAAAGCAUAUGAACUAGGUUUGGCGACUCGUCUACCGCAACCAGAGAACCUAGUGUCAUAUGCUGAGAGUUGCAUGUACAGUCCAAGUUACCGUAGCUAUCGCUAGUCCUCCCUCAUUCUCAUUGUUGCUUUGAAGAGUAGUUAGUCAUUGACAUCUCUUUCUCUUCCUACCCUUUUACUCUUUUGAAUUUCUCAGUUCAAUUUUCUAUGUUAGGGAGCAGGAGUUUUUAUUUAGUAAUAUGUCACUGUAAAUAAAUAUUCGGGGCUCAUCAUAUAUAUAAUUCAAAAGUCAUCUAUCCUUAAAUUUCAGUUGUUGGAAUGAAACAGUGGAGUUGGAUGUCUCAAUAUAUUUUAGCCAUCCAAGUUCCUGCUACACCAUUUGAAAAAGACUAGCUAAGGAGGGCUAGCUAAGGAGGGCCCGAAGAAGACUGUUAACAGCCUUUUUGAAGAAUGGAUGGUUCCACCGGUGUUUAUUCAAAAGCAGAUUGAAAUAGACAAGGCAGGAACUUCGUUUGUGAGGCAACGUUUACCAUUAGUUUCAGCAUUUUGUACUAAUAGUAGUAGGCCAAAACAUUCUCAAAUAGCUUUUCAGAUGUAUGAUGUAUAAUAUUAAUGAAUAAGGCCCGUUUGGCCAUGAAAAUAAUACUUUUUUGGAGUUGGAGUUGGA